RNAcentral lists this transfer-messenger RNA (355 nucleotides) under bacterium. Its description in RNAcentral is "f JAFGQG01 X1 Standard tmRNA". It matches the Rfam family "transfer-messenger RNA". Rfam says of the family: Bacterial tmRNA, also known as 10Sa RNA or SsrA, is named for its dual tRNA and mRNA-like properties. Its role is to liberate the mRNA from a stalled ribosome. The record is from RNAcentral.
GGGGGCGAAUGGGUUCGACGAUGGAGAAGCAGGGGAAACCUUGCAGGUCGAGCGCCUGUGGUCUCGUUAAUCCCGCAGGAAAAGAAGAAGUGCGAACACUUACGCAAUGGCUGCCUAAUAGAAAGGCUGCCCGUUUGUAGGAUUUGUGCCUCUCCGAAUCCUGCAAACGCCGAUCAGAGAGGACGCGUGGGGAAAUCGUGUUCAGGGGUUUUCCCACUAAGAAUUUACCUGAACUGGCUUCAGAGUAGCCACGCCUUUCGGCGACUCUGAAGCGAGAACAAAAGAAAGGAUAAGCCUGUAGAUAGGUUUCUCGGGCAUCCAUCGGACCCGGGUUCGAUUCCCGGCGCCUCCACCA